This 439-nucleotide ribosomal RNA is filed under the name uncultured bacterium. Its description in RNAcentral is "partial 16S ribosomal RNA". It matches the Rfam family "Bacterial small subunit ribosomal RNA", at positions 339 to 795 of the family's 1533-position model. The record is from RNAcentral.
CUACGGGUUGCACCAGUGGGGAAUAUUGCACAAUGGAGGAAACUCUGAUGCAGCAACGCCGCGUGGAGGAUGACACUUUUCGGAGCGUAAACUCCUUUUAUAUAGGAAGAAGAUGACGGUACUAUAUGAAUAAGCGCCGGCUAACUCCGUGCCAGCAGCCGCGGUAAUACGGAGGGCGCAAGCGUUACUCGGAAUCACUGGGCGUAAAGAGCGUGUAGGCGGAUUAAAAAGUCAGAAGUGAAAUCCUAUAGCUUAACUAUAGAACUGCUUCUGAAACUCUUAAUCUAGAAUAUGGGAGAGGUAGAUGGAAUUUCUGGUGUAGGGGAAACAUCCGUAGAGAUCAGAAGGAAUACCGAUUGCGAAGGCGAUCUACUAGAACAUUAUUGACGCUGAGACGCGAAAGCGUGGGGAGCAAACAGGAUUAGAUACCCCAGUAGUC